GUACAUAUAAUGGCUAUUACCUCAGCCUUCCAAGCUGAUGUUACGGGUUCGAUUCCCGCUGUACGCU
Molecule: transfer RNA, 67 nt
Filed under: Vibrio parahaemolyticus
Lineage: Bacteria; Pseudomonadati; Pseudomonadota; Gammaproteobacteria; Vibrionales; Vibrionaceae
Description: tRNA-Ser
Rfam family: tRNA
About the family: Transfer RNA (tRNA) molecules are approximately 80 nucleotides in length. Their secondary structure includes four short double-helical elements and three loops (D, anti-codon, and T loops). Further hydrogen bonds mediate the characteristic L-shaped molecular structure. tRNAs have two regions of fundamental functional importance: the anti-codon, which is responsible for specific mRNA codon recognition, and the 3' end, to which the tRNAs corresponding amino acid is attached (by aminoacyl-tRNA synthetases). tRNAs cope with the degeneracy of the genetic code in two manners: having more than one tRNA (with a specific anti-codon) for a particular amino acid; and 'wobble' base-pairing, i.e. permitting non-standard base-pairing at the 3rd anti-codon position.
Source: RNAcentral